RNAcentral lists this ribosomal RNA (267 nucleotides) under uncultured bacterium. RNAcentral describes it as "partial 16S ribosomal RNA". It matches the Rfam family "Bacterial small subunit ribosomal RNA", at positions 87 to 353 of the family's 1533-position model. The record is from RNAcentral.
GCUGGCGACCGGCGCACGGGUGAGUAACACGUAUCCAACCUGCCCUUUACUCGGGGAUAGCCUUUCGAAAGAAAGAUUAAUACCCGAUGGCAUAAUGAUUCCGCAUGGUUUCAUUAUUAAAGGAUUCCGGUAAAGGAUGGGGAUGCGUUCCAUUAGGUUGUUGGUGAGGUAACGGCUCACCAAGCCUUCGAUGGAUAGGGGUUCUGAGAGGAAGGUCCCCCACAUUGGAACUGAGACACGGUCCAAACUCCUACGGGAGGCAGCAUG